GAACCUUUAUUAUAUAAAAGUAUAUUUAAUUGCAAAUUAAAAGGAUAUAAGGUUUC
RNAcentral lists this transfer RNA (56 nucleotides) under Rhabdias kafunata. RNAcentral describes it as "tRNA-Cys". The record is from RNAcentral. Lineage: Eukaryota; Metazoa; Nematoda; Chromadorea; Rhabditida; Rhabdiasidae.